RNAcentral lists this long non-coding RNA (216 nucleotides) under Homo sapiens (human). RNAcentral describes it as "HSALNT0190413". The record is from RNAcentral. Lineage: Eukaryota; Metazoa; Chordata; Mammalia; Primates; Hominidae.
GGUUAUCAAUGCCGGGAAGAGCACACACAAUGAAGACCAAGCCAGCUGUGAGGUGCUCACUGUGAAGAAGAAGGCAGGGGCCGUGACCUCAACCCCAAACAGGAACUCAUCCAAGAGACGGUCCUCCCUUCCCAAUGGGGAAGGGCUGCAGCUGAAGGAGAACUCGGUAAGACCCUUCUCGAUCCUUGGUUCUCAGGAAUCCGAGGGUGUUUCCUG